GUCUCUGUGGCGCAAUUGGUUAGCGCGUUAGACUGUUAAUCUAAAGGUUGGUGGUUCGAGCCCACCCAGGGCUG
This 74-nucleotide transfer RNA is filed under the name Salmo salar (Atlantic salmon). It matches the Rfam family "tRNA". From Rfam's summary of the family: Transfer RNA (tRNA) molecules are approximately 80 nucleotides in length. The record is from Rfam by way of RNAcentral. Lineage: Eukaryota; Metazoa; Chordata; Actinopteri; Salmoniformes; Salmonidae.